CCAUCGUCAGAUUAGAGUGGUCUGCCUCAUCUCAACUGCUUCCACAUCACUGCAGAAGUCACUUUUAAGGGAUUUCCUUGAGCCAUCAGAUGCAGGUGCUCUUCAAAGAUCAAAAGAGACCAAAACUGUGAUUUGAAUUCGUAGAACAUGAAUUUCCUCCACAUGUUGUUCUGGCUCACAGACCGGUCUUUUGACCUGCUUUCAUCAAACGAAUGUCGAGCUGAUUCCAGUUAACAUAACGGCCUGCCGUGAAGAUACAGCGGCUCAAAGGGGGUACGGCUUCGCUCUGCAAUCUAGGGCCUCCUAACAAGAACACGAACUUGCGAAAGUGAAAACAGGAGAGGAGCAAAAACAAAGGUCUGACUGUAAAACCCUGAAAACUUCCAGCUCAGCAUUCACUCCUUUAAAUCAAAGUGCCGCCGUUGAGACCAAACAAUUUUUUCUUACAGUGUGAGAGAAAGAGAGAAGGCAGGAGGAGACGUGAUGCUGUGGACUUUCCUCAUCAUGGGCCACCAGCCUACUCACCACAAGCCUUCAUUGACGAUCUGGGCUCCUAGACGUCCGUUGAGGGUGGAAGAAUUUGGCAUUGUUGGAAGUCUAAAAAAAAGCAUGUCGGCUUUUCAGAAAUGAUGAUUUCAAGAUCCGCCAAUUCAUUCUUAUCUGGGCCAAGAAUGAAUGUUUGAUAUCUGGAUAUCGUUAACUUGAGGUACACUGUGUUGCUUGGAGUUACAGCAUAUCUAAUUACUGGUGUUAAUGACAGCCUUGAAACUGAUGUUCUGAUAC
Sinocyclocheilus grahami is the source of this 783-nucleotide long non-coding RNA. RefSeq lists it as uncharacterized. The record is from RefSeq and is a predicted model, not a curated record. The transcript is spliced from 6 exons. NCBI's taxonomy places the organism in Eukaryota, Metazoa, Chordata, Actinopteri, Cypriniformes, Cyprinidae.